UUAAGCGUGUAGGCUGGUUUUCCAGGCAAAUCCGGAAAAUCAAGGCUGAGGCGUGAUGACGAGGCACUACGGUGCUGAAGCAACAAAUGCCCUGCUUCCAGGAAAAGCCUCUAAGCAUCAGGUAACAUCAAAUCGUACCCCAAACCGACACAGGUGGUCAGGUAGAGAAUACCAAGGCGCUUGAGAGAACUCGGGUGAAGGAACUAGGCAAAAUGGUGCCGUAACUUCGGGAGAAGGCACGCUGAUAUGUAGGUGAAGCGACUUGCUCGUGGAGCUGAAAUCAGUCGAAGAUACCAGCUGGCUGCAACUGUUUAUUAAAAACACAGCACUGUGCAAACACGAAAGUGGACGUAUACGGUGUGACGCCUGCCCGGUGCCGGAAGGUUAAUUGAUGGGGUCAGCGCAAGCGAAGCUCUUGAUCGAAGCCCCGGUAAACGGCGGCCGUAACUAUAACGGUCCUAAGGUAGCGAAAUUCCUUGUCGGGUAAGUUCCGACCUGCACGAAUGGCGUAAUGAUGGCCAGGCUGUCUCCACCCGAGACUCAGUGAAAUUGAACUCGCUGUGAAGAUGCAGUGUACCCGCGGCAAGACGGAAAGACCCCGUGAACCUUUACUAUAGCUUGACACUGAACAUUGAGCCUUGAUGUGUAGGAUAGGUGGGAGGCUUUGAAGUGUGGACGCCAGUCUGCAUGGAGCCGACCUUGAAAUACCACCCUUUAAUGUUUGAUGUUCUAACGUUGACCCGUAAUCCGGGUUGCGGACAGUGUCUGGUGGGUAGUUUGACUGGGGCGGUCUCCUCCUAAAGAGUAACGGAGGAGCACGAAGGUUGGCUAAUCCUGGUCGGACAUCAGGAGGUUAGUGCAAUGGCAUAAGCCAGCUUGACUGCGAGCGUGACGGCGCGAGCAGGUGCGAAAGCAGGUCAUAGUGAUCCGGUGGUUCUGAAUGGAAGGGCCAUCGCUCAACGGAUAAAAGGUACUCCGGGGAUAACAGGCUGAUACCGCCCAAGAGUUCAUAUCGACGGCGGUGUUUGGCACCUCGAUGUCGGCUCAUCACAUCCUGGGGCUGAAGUAGGUCCCAAGGGUAUGGCUGUUCGCCAUUUAAAGUGGUACGCGAGCUGGGUUUAGAACGUCGUGAGACAGUUCGGUCCCUAUCUGCCGUGGGCGCUGGAGAACUGAGGGGGGCUGCUCCUAGUACGAGAGGACCGGAGUGGACGCAUCACUGGUGUUCGGGUUGUCAUGCCAAUGGCACUGCCCGGUAGCUAAAUGCGGAAGAGAUAAGUGCUGAAAGCAUCUAA
Molecule: ribosomal RNA, 1292 nt
Filed under: Escherichia coli
Lineage: Bacteria; Pseudomonadati; Pseudomonadota; Gammaproteobacteria; Enterobacterales; Enterobacteriaceae
Description: partial 23S ribosomal RNA
Rfam family: Bacterial large subunit ribosomal RNA
Source: RNAcentral